UACGGGAGGCAGCAGUGGGGAAUAUUGCACAAUGGGCGCAAGCCUGAUGCAGCCAUGCCGCGUGUAUGAAGAAGGCCUUCGGGUUGUAAAGUACUUUCAGCGGGGAGGAAGGGAGUAAAGUUAAUACCUUUGCUCAUUGACGUUACCCGCAGAAGAAGCACCGGCUAACUCCGUGCCAGCAGCCGCGGUAAUACGGAGGGUGCAAGCGUUAAUCGGAAUUACUGGGCGUAAAGCGCACGCAGGCGGUUUUGUUAAGUCAGAUGUGAAAUCCCCGGGCUCAACCUGGGAACUGCAUCUGAUACUGGCAAGCUUGAGUCUCGUAGAGGGGGUAGAAUUCCGAGGUGUAGCGGUGAAAUGCGUAGAGAUCGUGGAGGAAUACCGGUGGCGAAGGCGGCCCCUGGGACGAAGCUGACGCUCAGGUGCGAAAGCGUGGGGAGCAAACGAGGAUUACGAUACCCGGU
Molecule: ribosomal RNA, 461 nt
Filed under: uncultured bacterium
Lineage: Bacteria
Description: bacterial SSU rRNA
Rfam family: Bacterial small subunit ribosomal RNA
Source: RNAcentral